Molecule: transfer RNA, 76 nt
Filed under: Herpetosiphonaceae bacterium
Lineage: Bacteria; Bacillati; Chloroflexota; Chloroflexia; Herpetosiphonales; Herpetosiphonaceae
Description: tRNA-Gly
Rfam family: tRNA
About the family: Transfer RNA (tRNA) molecules are approximately 80 nucleotides in length. Their secondary structure includes four short double-helical elements and three loops (D, anti-codon, and T loops).
Source: RNAcentral
GCGGGAGUGGCUCAGUUGGUAGAGCAUCUCCUUGCCAAGGAGAAGGUCGCGAGUUCGAAUCUCGUCUCCCGCUCCA